RNAcentral lists this transfer RNA (77 nucleotides) under Mesorhizobium sp. RNAcentral's name for it is "tRNA-Arg". It matches the Rfam family "tRNA". From Rfam's summary of the family: Transfer RNA (tRNA) molecules are approximately 80 nucleotides in length. The record is from RNAcentral. Lineage: Bacteria; Pseudomonadati; Pseudomonadota; Alphaproteobacteria; Hyphomicrobiales; Phyllobacteriaceae.
GGUCUCGUAGCUCAGUAGGAUAGAGCAUCAGAUUCCUAAUCUGAGGGUCGCGCGUUCGAAUCGCGCCGAGAUCACCA